This 497-nucleotide ribosomal RNA is filed under the name uncultured bacterium. RNAcentral's name for it is "partial 16S ribosomal RNA". It matches the Rfam family "Bacterial small subunit ribosomal RNA", at positions 28 to 507 of the family's 1533-position model. The record is from RNAcentral.
GAUGAACGCUGGCGGCGUGCCUAAUACAUGCAAGUCGAGCGAACAGACGAGGAGCUUGCUCCUCUGACGUUAGCGGCGGACGGGUGAGUAACACGUGGAUAACCUACCUAUAAGACUGGGAUAACUUCGGGAAACCGGAGCUAAUACCGGAUAAUAUAUUGAACCGCAUGGUUCAAUAGUGAAAGACGGUUUUGCUGUCACUUAUAGAUGGAUCCGCGCCGCAUUAGCUAGUUGUUAAGGUAACGGCUUACCAAGGCAACGAUGCGUAGCCGACCUGAGAGGGUGAUCGGCCACACUGGAACUGAGACACGGUCCAGACUCCUACGGGAGGCAGCAGUAGGGAAUCUUCCGCAAUGGGCGAAAGCCUGACGGAGCAACGCCGCGUGAGUGAUGAAGGUCUUCGGAUCGUAAAACUCUGUUAUUAGGGAAGAACAAAUGUGUAAGUAACUAUGCACGUCUUGACGGUACCUAAUCAGAAAGCCACGGCUAACUACGUG